UGGCUCUGUUGGUAGAGCAUGGUGUUUGCAACGCCAGCCUGGUGUGUGCAACACCAGGGUUGUGGGUUCGAUUCCCAC
Molecule: non-coding RNA, 78 nt
Organism: Salmo salar (Atlantic salmon)
Lineage: Eukaryota; Metazoa; Chordata; Actinopteri; Salmoniformes; Salmonidae
Source: Rfam